UCUCCGUUGGUGAACCAGCGGAGGGAUCAUUACCGAGUUUACAACUCCCAAACCCAAUGUGAACGUUACCAAACCGUUGCCUCGGCGGGGUCACGCCCCGGGUGCGUCGCAGCCCCGGAACCAGGCGCCCGCCGGAGGAACCAACCAAACUCUUUCUGUAGCCCCCUCGCGGACGUUAUUUCUUACAGCUCUGAGCAAAAAUUCAAAAUGAAUCAAAACUUUCAACAACGGAUCUCUUGGCUCCC
RNAcentral lists this unclassified non-coding RNA (245 nucleotides) under plant metagenome. RNAcentral describes it as "partial contains small subunit ribosomal RNA, internal transcribed spacer 1, and 5.8S ribosomal RNA". The record is from RNAcentral.